GCGCGCUGAGCACAUGCAAGUCGAACGAGAAAGGGGAGCAAUCCCUGAGUAAAGUGGCGUACGGGUAAGUAACACAUGUGUAAUUUACCUCUGGGUGGGGAAUAACUCUGGGAAACCGCAGCUAAUACCGCAUAAGCCCACAAGGGGAAAGGCGAAAGUCGCCGAGAGAGGAGGCGCGGCCGAUUAGCUUGUUGGUGGGGUAAAGGCUCAUCAAGGCUGAGAUAGGUAGCCGGCCUGAGAGGGCUCACGGCCACACUACACUGAAACACGGGCCAGACUCCUACGGUUUUAGGCAGCAGUGGGGGAUGUUGCACAAUGGGGGAAACCCCGAUGCAGCGACGGCACGUGAGCGAUAAAGCCCUUCGGUGUGUAAAGCUCUUUCAACAGGGACGAUAAAUGACGGUACCUGCAGAGGAAGCUGUGCUAACUACGUGCCAGCAGCCGCGGUAAUACGUAGGCAGCGAGCGUUGUUCGGAGUUACUGGGCGUAAAGCGUGCGUAGGCGGUGGUCCAAGUCUGGUGUGAAAUCUCCCGGCUUAACUCCGGAGGGUGCGCCGGAAACUGGGCCGCGGGAGUGUGGGAGAGGUAAGCGGAAUUCCCGAGUAGCG
RNAcentral lists this ribosomal RNA (607 nucleotides) under uncultured bacterium. RNAcentral's name for it is "bacterial SSU rRNA". It matches the Rfam family "Bacterial small subunit ribosomal RNA", at positions 42 to 680 of the family's 1533-position model. The record is from RNAcentral.